UCCUUAAACUCCUCUCAUGCCCUGUUGAGCAGAUAACAGUGUGAUGAUUGUGUCCUGCUGGUGCUGACAAAUGAAUUCAUGUAAUCACAGUUCUGUGUGUGUGUGUGUGUGUGUGUGUGUGUGUGUGUGUGUGUGUGUGUGUGUGUGUGUGUGUGUGUGUGUGUGUGUGUGUGUAUGAGAGAAUGGGUCCAGUGAUGCAAAACAUUCCAUUUUGCCAGUAAAAAAUGUGUGUGUUUUGUGUGUGUGUGUGUGUGUGUGUGUGUG
Molecule: long non-coding RNA, 264 nt
Organism: Tachysurus fulvidraco (yellow catfish)
Lineage: Eukaryota; Metazoa; Chordata; Actinopteri; Siluriformes; Bagridae
Exons: 3
Source: RefSeq, a predicted model, not a curated record